GCAGUCGUGGCCGAGUGUUUAAGGCGAUGGACUAGAAAUCCAUUGGGGUCUCCCCGCACAGGUUCGAAUCCUGUCGACUGCG
RNAcentral lists this transfer RNA (82 nucleotides) under Ixodes scapularis (black-legged tick). It matches the Rfam family "tRNA". Rfam says of the family: Transfer RNA (tRNA) molecules are approximately 80 nucleotides in length. Their secondary structure includes four short double-helical elements and three loops (D, anti-codon, and T loops). The record is from Rfam by way of RNAcentral. Lineage: Eukaryota; Metazoa; Arthropoda; Arachnida; Ixodida; Ixodidae.